ACUCCUACGGGAGGCAGCAGUGGGGAAUAUUGCACAAUGGGGGAAACCCUGAUGCAGCCAUGCCGCGUGUGUGAAGAAGGCCUUCGGGUUGUAAAGCACUUUCAGUAGGGAGGAAGGUAGUGUAGUUAACACCUGCAUUAUUUGACGUUACCUACAGAAGAAGCACCGGCUAACUCCGUGCCAGCAGCCGCGGUAAUACGGAGGGUGCGAGCGUUAAUCGGAAUUACUGGGCGUAAAGCGCAUGCAGGCGGCCUGUUAAGUCAGAUGUGAAAGCCCGGGGUCUUAACCUCGGAAUUGCAUUUGAAACUGGCAGGCUAGAGUCUUGUAGAGGGGUUAGAAUUUCGAGGUGUAGCGGUGAAAUGCGUAGAGAUCUGAAGGAAUACCAGUGGCGAAGGCGGCCCCUGGACAAACGACUAGACGCUCAGAUGCGAAAGCGUGGGAGCAAACAGGAUUAGAUACCCCGUGGUAGACUGUCA
This 476-nucleotide ribosomal RNA is filed under the name uncultured bacterium. RNAcentral describes it as "bacterial SSU rRNA". It matches the Rfam family "Bacterial small subunit ribosomal RNA", at positions 335 to 802 of the family's 1533-position model. The record is from RNAcentral.